ACGGCCAUAUUACAUUGAAAGAAUCGGUUUUAAUCCGAUCAAUGAAGUUAAGCAAUAUCGGGCCCGGUCAGUACUUGGGAGGAUGACCACUUAGGAACUGUACACUAUUCCUUU
Non-coding RNA from Cordylochernes scorpioides, 114 nucleotides. Lineage: Eukaryota; Metazoa; Arthropoda; Arachnida; Pseudoscorpiones; Chernetidae. The record is from the annotation of a GenBank genome assembly.